GAUGAACGCUGGCGGCGUGCCUAAUACAUGCAAGUCGAGCGAACGGACGAGAAGCUUGCUUCUCUGAUGUUAGCGGCGGACGGGUGAGUAACACGUGGAUAACCUACCUAUAAGACUGGGAUAACUUCGGGAAACCGUAGCUAAUACCGGAUAAUAUUUUGAACCGCAUGGUUCAAAAGUGAAAGACGGUCUUGCUGUCACUUAUAGAUGGAUCCGCGCUGCAUUAGCUAGUUGGUAAGGUAACGGCUUACCAAGGCAACGAUGCAGAGCCGACCUGAGAGGGUGAUCGGCCACACUGGAACUGAGACACGGUCAAGACUCCUACGGGAGGCAGCAGUAGGGAAUCUUCCGCAAUGGGCGAAAGCCUGACGGAGCAACGCCGCGUGAGUGAUGAAGGUCUUCGGAUCGUAAAACUCUGUUAUUAGGGAAGAACAUAUGUGUAAGUAACUGUGCACAUCUUGACGGUACCUAAUCAGAAAGCCACGGCUAACUACGUG
This 497-nucleotide ribosomal RNA is filed under the name uncultured bacterium. RNAcentral's name for it is "partial 16S ribosomal RNA". It matches the Rfam family "Bacterial small subunit ribosomal RNA", at positions 28 to 507 of the family's 1533-position model. The record is from RNAcentral.